CAGGAUGAACGCUGGCGGCGUGCCUAACACAUGCAAGUCGAACGAAGCACUUCUGGUUGAGAUUCGUCAAGAACUGGAUUUGACUUAGUGGCGGACGGUGAGUAAUGUAUGAGCAACCUGCCUUUCAGAGGGGGACAACAGUUGGAAACGACUGCUAAUACCGCAUAAAGUAUUUUAAGGGCAUCCUUGAAAUACCAAAGGAGCAAUCCGCUGAAAGAUGGGCUCAUAUCUGAUUAGUUAGUUGGCAGGGUAACGGCCUACCAAGACUGCGAUCAGUAGCCGGACUGAGAGGUUGAACGGCCACAUUGGGACUGAGAUACGGCCCAGACUCCUACGGGAGGCAGCAGUGGGGAAUAUUGGGCAAUGGGCGAAGCCUGACCCAGCAACGCCGCGUGAAGGAAGAAGGUCUUCGGAUUGUAAACUUCUUUUAUGAGGGACGAAGGACGUGACGGUACCUCAUGAAUAAGCCACGGCUAACUACGUGCCAGCCGCUGC
This 495-nucleotide ribosomal RNA is filed under the name uncultured bacterium. RNAcentral's name for it is "bacterial SSU rRNA". It matches the Rfam family "Bacterial small subunit ribosomal RNA", at positions 25 to 518 of the family's 1533-position model. The record is from RNAcentral.